RNAcentral lists this unclassified non-coding RNA (265 nucleotides) under Hevea brasiliensis (rubber tree). Lineage: Eukaryota; Viridiplantae; Streptophyta; Magnoliopsida; Malpighiales; Euphorbiaceae. The record is from RNAcentral.
CUUAUAGCUGAAGGUAGUUGUGGUUCACCGCGCAGCAUCAAGGUGUUCCUUGGGGAGUGUAAUGUGGAUGAUUCGUAUGCUUGAGUUCAAACAAAUGAAAAUCAUCAUGACGCAUGUGUUUGUCAUGAAAAAAUCCAAUAAGCUGAUUUUGACCUUGUAUUACAGGGUCUGGGAUUUUCAUUUUCCCCCCUUUGGAUACAUAUAGGGAAUAAAUUUCCACUGUGCUUGCUUGUCAUUCAGAGUGGUCUUCAAUUAGACUAUCUGU